GAAAAAAAAACACGAAUCGUAUUGAAAUCAAUAGAUUCUUCGAAACAUCCAUUCUGAAUCUAAAUAAUUCAGUGCAAUUUCCCCAUUAAGAGUACAAAAUUAAAAUUUGAACUACCCUAAAUUAUAUUCUUUGAGUGGUCAAACUUAACGCUAAUUUUUUACUCAUCUUAGCUAAUGCAAAGCAAUAUGUUGACCGAUCCGGUAUUCAGAUUAAAUAAUUCCGUUACUCGAAUUGACGAUCAAUUUCUUUUAUCUGGAUUCUUAGAUCCAAUCCAUUAAUUUUACAAAAAUGGACAAGCUACUAAAAAAAUGUUAAGUUGACAGAACAGUAUCUAAAGUGAUAAUUUGGGGCAGUUAAACGAAUAUUAUAUUAAAUCGCGUAGCUACACUAUGAUUUGAGAUAAUCAGCCAUAUUUUAAGCUAAAUUAAAAUACUAAAUAUUCCAGAUUGAUACCCAUAAUCUGGAUUUGUAAUCACUAAGGCCCAGAUUUAUAUAUGAUCUAAAUACCUUAGAAAUAUGCACUAUAAAAUAUGAAUUUAUGCUCUUAUUUUGUAGUAAUAUACUCUUUAAAAUGAAACAUUCGCACAAAAAUAUCGAUUUUAAAAAAACAAAAUAUUUUUUAAAUUUUUACUAUUUCUAUUUUUAUUUUUAAACAAGGUAAAAUCGA
This is a non-coding RNA of Cinara cedri, 668 nucleotides long. The record is from the annotation of a GenBank genome assembly. NCBI's taxonomy places the organism in Eukaryota, Metazoa, Arthropoda, Insecta, Hemiptera, Aphididae.